This 73-nucleotide transfer RNA is filed under the name Luteococcus japonicus. RNAcentral's name for it is "tRNA-Thr". It matches the Rfam family "tRNA". Rfam says of the family: Transfer RNA (tRNA) molecules are approximately 80 nucleotides in length. Their secondary structure includes four short double-helical elements and three loops (D, anti-codon, and T loops). RNAcentral also lists the same sequence under 1 other name. The record is from RNAcentral. Lineage: Bacteria; Bacillati; Actinomycetota; Actinomycetes; Propionibacteriales; Propionibacteriaceae.
GCCGCCCUAGCUCAGUUGGUAGAGCAACGCACUCGUAAUGCGUAGGUCAGGAGUUCGACUCUCCUGGGCGGCU